GUGUUUGCUUCACAGGCGCAUUUACUAAAGUUGGAACAGUACAGAGAUUAGCACGGCCCCUGGGAAAGAUGAUAUGUGAAAUCCUGAAAACAAAAUCAACAUU
RNAcentral lists this small nuclear RNA (103 nucleotides) under Lynx canadensis (Canada lynx). Lineage: Eukaryota; Metazoa; Chordata; Mammalia; Carnivora; Felidae. RNAcentral also lists the same sequence under 1 other name. The record is from RNAcentral.